Molecule: non-coding RNA, 238 nt
Organism: Vigna umbellata (rice bean)
Lineage: Eukaryota; Viridiplantae; Streptophyta; Magnoliopsida; Fabales; Fabaceae
Source: RefSeq, a predicted model, not a curated record
GGCACAGAUGUAAUCUUACAGUGGUCCAUGUCCAAUUUGAGCCUCUUGUAUAAAGCCCUAAAGAGAUCCACGAAGAAGAACCCUAGUUUCCUCUUUCACCGCAGUUUCUGAAGCUUCCAACCAGGAAGAUAGGAAGAUGGCUCCCAAACCACCCAGUACGGGUUUGUUUGUUGGGUUGAACAAGGGUCACAUCCUUACCAAGAAGGAGUUGCCCCCACGGCCCUCCGAUCGCAAAGGG